GCCAUGUUUCUGACCUUGGCCAUGUGUGGCUUCUCCCUCCCACCUUGAUUCCAGGCUACAGCCAGCCCUCUACCUCUCCUUAGGAGUCAAUGUUCUGUCUCUCUAGCUCUCCUUUUCAUUGGCUGGGUAGCUCCUGGCCUCUGUCUGUCCUCCCAGGUGAAGGGGAGGCAGCAGGACCAGCUCCAGCUCUUCCGGCAAGAGGACAGGCAGCUAUGAGUCUCUGCCCAGCUUCAGUACCCUAGAGAGAAGGAGGAGGGAACCACUGGUGGUCAGAUGCCCUCGACCUCCAGUCCCAGCAUCAGGGACACCCAGAUUGCUCCUGUUCUUUCCCUCUCCCAUCAGGGGCUCCCCUUCAGUCCCUCCCCUGCAGUCCUGUGCAGGACCCACGCCCACCAGCCCCAUUCCCUGCCCUGAUCGGUUCCUUUUGCACAGUCUCACACCCUCCCUGGGGUUAAGAGGUGAGGGUGGGCCUUCUGGAGGCCACUCCUUGACCCCCAGGAUGCAAGACUGGAUUUGCGGGUCCUUCUCUCCUCCACUCUACAGAUGAGGAGACCAAGGCUCAGGGAAGCCCUGCCCCAGGUCGCAUGACUCUCACGUGGUAGGUCUAAGACUCAAACUCCAGUCUCAGUGAGUCCACAGAGCAUUCUGCUCCUUCUGGAUGCUUCUGCCCGGUUGCCCCAUACAACUUCAGGGCCUCAGCAUCCAAGAACAGAGUUCUGGGGGGUGACUCCCAGGAGGUUAUAUUUUUAUAAUGUUCCUAAGGUGAUUCCCUCCACAGCUGUGAAAGCCCUGUCUAAUCCAGAGCCUUCCUUGACCAGGGGGGAUAUAAGGCCCAGAGCAGUAGAGUCACCCUGGUGACAGUCCCUCGACAGUCUUCAAUGGAGGGCACUGCCAGCCUGUGACUGGUGGUGGGUGGGGGUGAGAGAGUGGGGCUGGGACCUUUGGUGAUUCCCGGGGCUGGUUGUAGGAGGCUCUGCUUCCUCCCACCCCCGGAUGAGGUUGGCAUUGUCUUACUGAGUAGAUGGUGAGGGUGGGAGAGCAUGAUUUCAUCACAGGAAGUGGCCUUGUCUUCUGGAGGUGGAAGCAAGCAGACCGACUUCUUUUUUCCUCUUCUGUUUCUUUCUCAAAAUUCAUAGUUCUCUUCCACACUUCUCCAUGGGCCAGCCAGGCAGCCCCUGCCCUUUCCCUGUGUCUGCAUUUCUUAUACCUCCUCCCAGGCUCGAGAAGAGAAGAAGAGAAGAGGAGAGGAGAGGAGAGGAGAGGAGAGGAGAGGAGAGGAGUUCUGCAUUUUCAUGGGAUCCCCUUAUCUGAGCCAGGCUCUAAACACCCAUUGCCUCAUUUUCAACUUUACAACAUUGUGUCAUGGAUGUAUUUUCACCAACAGGAAACUGAGGCACUGGCAAGAAACUGAGCCUCAAUGUCAUGGACUCCUCUGGGCUGUGGAAGGUGCUUGGGCAAAUGAUGCAAGCUGCACAUUUCACGUCGUGUUCAGGCCCCUGGACCCAGUUGGAUCCCCAUGAUACCUGGAAUUGUGAGGCCAAUCCUGUGAGGUAAAGGAAUUUUAUUCCCACCCAACACAGGAAGAAACGAAGGCUCAGACGGGUCAUCUCACCCACUCCAGUUCCCUCCACCGGGCAGGUCUAGAGUUUGGACAACGCUCAGACAGUAUGGUGAAGUCUCCUGCCCCUGUUUUCCCUUCACUUCCUCAGCCUCCUGACCGACCUUGGUGCCUCCCGACAUGGCCCCUCUCGGAAUUCCGUGCCUCCUGUUUCUAGGGAUCUUAGUUAAGUCUCGCCAAGCCCCAGGAGGUAUGCACGGUCUGUUACAGUCCUCAUUUUACAAGAGGAAACUGAGGUCCCGUGGGAGGUUAUGAACAUCACUUCAGGUCACACUGCCAGUAAGUAUCCGCCGUGGUGUGGGGUCUGUGCCUGUGCAUGGUGGCACUUCCCCCGCAGUGGCAGCAAUCAACAGUCCUCUGACCCACAUUACAGCCAGAGUUCCCUUUUCUUUUCUUUUUUUUUUUUUUAAAGAUUUUUUAUUUAUUUGACAGAGAUAGAGACAGCCAGAGAGAGAAGGAACACAAGCAAGGGGAGUGGGAGAAAGAAGCAGGCUCACAGCAGAGGAGCCUGACGUGGGGCUCGAUCCCACAACGCCGGGACCACGCCCUGAGCCGAAGGCAGACGCGUAACCGCUGUGCCACCCAGGCGCCCCCAGAGUUCCCUUUUCUGGGUUGUCUUCCUGCUACGCAGGGAGAUGCUUGAGGACAGACUGGCUUGUGCGGCUUUGGGCGCACACUCUGAGGGAAGGCCUUGUGGACACAUAGCAAGAUGGCAUCACCUACAAGCCACAGGCCAUGACCUCGGAAUGCAACCUACCUGGCCAGCACCUUGAUCUUGGACUUCCUGGACUCCAGAACCAGGAGAAAUUCCUGUUAUUUAAGCCACCGGGUCUGUGGCUCUUCAUGAUGGCGGCCGAGCAGACGGCUCCCACUCCCACUGUGAAGUCACUGAACUUGAGUCCAGAAGAAGCACGCAGCAGGUGCUCUCCAUCAUUCCCACCGCACAGACACAGCAGCACGGACAACCUCAAGAGCACAGAGGGAAGCUGUGGAAGCUGUUACAAACAAGUCGAUUGGAGUCACCUGGAAGUUCGAGCUCCAGUGGCUUCUCAUUGGCGGAGCUGCCUCUCAUUGGCUGGGUCGUCGCGCGGGGCGGGGAGGAAGGCCUUUCUCCCAGCCGCUGGGCUAUGAAAGCAGCAGCCCCCUGAAAGGCCCGGCUCCUUCCCCGUGGAUUUGCAAUUGAGGGCGCGCGGCCUCGCUGCUCCCCGCUCAGAUGUUGAAAUGAGGCUGUUCGAGGGCCGUGUUGUGGAGAUUCCAGAUGUCACUGGCCCUCCUCUGCAGGGUUUGCCCAGAACCUGAAGUUGGAGAGCCGCCUCCUGCCCUCGGCUGGGCCAGCACACCUAGUAUCCUGCGCGUUUGUGUGUCCCUCUGUUGGAGUGGGAUCGCAGCCUGGGGUUUCUUGUUGAGGAGUUCCUCCCCCAUAGCGCCUGGGAGAGGCCCAGAGAAGAGGCCAGGGCCUUCUACCUGUGUCCCACUGGCUGAGCCCUCAGACACACCUCGGCCCUAUUUCUUCUUUCAAGGUCCCAGGCCCCCAUCAUGCACUGUAGGGGUCAGCAUGAGCAGGGUGGACACCCCGACUUGGCUGGGGGCGAGGCCAUGUCAUCCAGCACCCUGCAGUGAGCCCAGCAAGGGUUCAAGUCUUCCUGGCCUGCAGGGGCAGAAGUCGCACACCCAGCCAGGAGGCCGUGGUGUCCAGGUGCCAGCGCUCCGUCUGGGCGCUUCACUCUUCCCGCUGGGCCCUAGAAGGGAAGCAGGUGCCAGGCACCUUGACCUCCCAGGCUAGGGGUCAGUACGGACUGGUGGCUGCUGAGGGUCCAGAGCCGAGAGAGGUGGGGACUGUCUGUACGGGCAGUGCGGGCCAUACAGAGGGUCGGGGUACUAGUGAUGUGGGGCUGCCAGGCAAAAGGUCAAGAAAGAAUUCCUGAGACAUUUUUGGUGCAAAAAAGUUGUUGUUAUAGCCUGGGGAUAGGACCUGUGGGCAGAAAGAGGUGCACUUGUGAUUGUGAGGAGUGACUGAUGACAUACUUCUUACUUAGUGGGGGCUGGAGAUAGCGUAGGUCUCUAAGGAAUUUGGAAACAAGGUUUCCAGGGCCUUAAGGGGUUAGCUAUUGUUAAGAUAAGGGUAUCUGCUCUACUGUCAAGGAAAACCUUGACCCUUCAGAUGUAAAUCGAUAGGCCAUACGUUGAAAAAAAUUGUUACCGUAUAUCCUGGUCACCACACCAUUCUGGGGUGGGGCAGAGGCAAGAAGGAGCAACUGACGUGGGUAGAGGUAGCCACGGGGUGGGGAUGUCCUGAGGGCCAUUUGGGGAGGAGCGAG
Long non-coding RNA from Ailuropoda melanoleuca (giant panda), 3936 nucleotides. RefSeq lists it as uncharacterized. Lineage: Eukaryota; Metazoa; Chordata; Mammalia; Carnivora; Ursidae. The record is from RefSeq and is a predicted model, not a curated record. The transcript is spliced from 8 exons.